GUGGGGAAUCUUAGACAAUGGGCGCAAGCCUGAUCUAGCCAUGCCGCGUGAGCGAUGAAGGCCUUAGGGUUGUAAAGCUCUUUCGCUGGGGAAGAUAAUGACUGUACCCAGUAAAGAAGCCCCGGCUAACUCCGUGCCAGCAGCCGCGGUAAUACGGAGGGGGCUAGCGUUGUUCGGAAUUACUGGGCGUAAAGCGCGCGUAGGCGGAUUGGAAAGUUGGGGGUGAAAUCCCGGGGCUCAACCUCGGAACUGCCUUUGAAACUCCUGGUCUUGAGGUCGAGAGAGGUGAGUGGAAUUCCGAGUGUAGAGGUGAAAUUCGUAGAUAUUCGGAGGAACACCAGUGGCGAAGGCGGCUCACUGGCUCGAUACUGACGCUGAGGUGCGAAAGCGUGGGGAGCAAACAGGAUUAGAUACCCUUGUAGUCC
Molecule: ribosomal RNA, 425 nt
Filed under: uncultured bacterium
Lineage: Bacteria
Description: partial 16S ribosomal RNA
Rfam family: Bacterial small subunit ribosomal RNA
Source: RNAcentral